Xylariomycetidae sp. FL2044 is the source of this 114-nucleotide non-coding RNA. The record is from the annotation of a GenBank genome assembly. Lineage: Eukaryota; Fungi; Ascomycota; Sordariomycetes.
GCGGGGAUAGCUCAGUUGGGAGAGCGUCAGACUGAAGCCAAACUUCAUCAAACAUCACGAAGAUCUUCUUCGCGGUAUAUCUGAAGGUCGUGCGUUCGAUCCGCACUCACCGCA